GGGGAAUUUUCCGCAAUGGGCGCAAGCCUGACGGAGCAACGCCGCGUGCAGGAGGACGCUUUUCGGAGUGUAAACUGCUUUUCUGUGGGACGAGAAUGGACGGUACCACAGGAAGAAGCCCCGGCUAACUACGUGCCAGCAGCCGCGGUAAUACGUAGGGGGCGAGCGUUGUCCGGAGUUACUGGGCGUAAAGGGCAUGCAGGCGGUCGGACGCGUUUUGUGUGACAGCGGGUGGCUUAACUACCCGAGUAUACAAAAGACGGUUUGACUUGAGGACUCGAGAGGGACACGGAAUUCCGGGUGGAGUGGUGAAAUGCGUAGAGAUCCGGAGGAACACCGAAGGCGAAGGCAGUGUCCUGGCGAGUAGCUGACGCUGAGGUGCGAAAGCUAGGGGAGCGAAAGGGAUUAGAUACCCCUGUAGUC
RNAcentral lists this ribosomal RNA (423 nucleotides) under uncultured bacterium. Its description in RNAcentral is "bacterial SSU rRNA". It matches the Rfam family "Bacterial small subunit ribosomal RNA", at positions 356 to 795 of the family's 1533-position model. The record is from RNAcentral.